AAAUAAAGGCAAAAUGCAUAUGGCAAUAAAAUCUCUUAUUAGGCAGUUGCAUAGGCGGCUAACAAACAUCUACACUAUAAUAUAGUACAAAGUCUGUUUUCACCUCUUCAUUUAGUAUUAUUAUAUUAUUUGGAAAACAUUGUUAGUAAUAUCAAAGAUAAUUAUGCAAUAACUAGCCUACUGGCUUACAAAAAUUCCCAUUUAAUUUUCUGAUACACAAAUAGUUUGCGUUUUUUGCUAUUUUGAUGCGAAACAUUUGAAUCUAAACAUUCAUUUUAUUAAAACUGUAUCAUUUUUGUACAGUAAUCGCACCUGAAGAUGCAACUACAAAGUUGUGAAACCAGUUGUGCGGGUCUCCACGGCUCUAAUAAAGAAACUGCUUAAGUGGAGCAACAGCCUUUCAUUCAGACAACUGUGAUUUUAUUUUAACACCCACAUUUUCACUGUGUGAAAGUUCCUUAACUAUGUAUAAAUAUUUUAGCUAUGACAAUCACUGUCAUUUCAAACUCUUCUAUUGUUCUGUGUUUGCGUUACAAAUGUGGGAUUGUGGGUCCACCUUCAAGCAAAGAUUUGUUAUUUUCAUGAACUAUAAUAUACUACAAUAUGUUUCAUAGUUUGUAAAUAUAUACUACAAUAUGUUUCACAGUUUGGUAAAUAUGUCUUUCCUGCAUUCUUUUAGAUUAAAAAAAAAACCACUGGGGAUAGGAGGUUUUCCGCCAUAACUAGUUUGGGUAUAAAAAUAAGAAUAACAAGUGUUUUGCAUCAAGGCAGAUACACAAUUCCACAUUAAAGCUGCGAUUGCCCUUCAUACAUAAUUCUCUGUUCAUUUAGUAGCCCUUAAACGUACCCAUGUGUUGUUAAAAUUAGCAGUGUCGGAUCUGAUAUAUACUAAUUAUUAUACAGUCAAAUGUAUUUUAGAUGCUAAAGUAGUGAGUUUAUGUAGCACCACUCUUUUUAUCCUGUAGAAAUUCGAGCCGGUUCAUCUAAGACAAUGUAUGUGAUUGUGUUUUUUAUUAAGUGUGUCCUGGGUAGUUGAUUGUGUAUAUAAUUAGGUCUCAAAAUGAUACAUGAUAGCAAACUUUCGAGAAUAUUCUUUUGUUCUAUUUUGAGGACUUUAUACCAGAAUUCAGAAUGCAGUAUCGAAAAUUGCCAUGCUUUUGGAAUUUGUGUUCAAUGUAGCAAUGUCAUUAUUCAGAAUAAUAGCACCAGAAGUACUUAUGCUGUGUAAAAAGUAAGCAAUGAAUGUGUGCCAUUUUCAGUGGAAAAAUUGUUAAGUCAUUCAGAGGUGUACAUUUGUUGUAAUAACAUUUAAUUUUCAUGUGGAUAUGGAUGUCUUAAAGGCAACACUGUUGACUCUUGAGGGGCAUUAGUAAUCUGUGCUCUGUCAGUGUUGUAGAACAGUUUAUAGCCCAUUACUCCUAAAAUUUUGUGUUGUCAGAGUUUCUUAGAAAGAGAAAAUGACGAUUUUUAUUACAUACACAGAUGUUACUUGAAAAAAUUUGUUUGAUAUUAUGGACUGUUGAUUUCCGCAUGCAAACUAGAGGAAAACUGGUGCCAUAACAUGAAUUCCAGUGCAAUAAUUUGCUAAUAUUAUUUAUUUAUUUUGAACUAGCUGCUAAACCCGGUAUUGCCUGGUUAUAUAUGCCUUUUUGCAUUCUUAUAUUAGAAAUGAAAAUAAAUAUUCCAAAAGCAUUUCAUCUUCAUAUUAUCAAGAAAACUGCUUAUAAAUUAUGAAAC
RNAcentral lists this long non-coding RNA (1737 nucleotides) under Locusta migratoria (migratory locust). Its description in RNAcentral is "partial Lnc20488". Lineage: Eukaryota; Metazoa; Arthropoda; Insecta; Orthoptera; Acrididae. The record is from RNAcentral.